GGAGGGUUGGCCGAGUGGUCUAAGGCGGUAGACUUAAGAUCUACUGGUGUUAUCACCGCGCGAGUUCGAACCUCGCAUCCUUCA
The sequence is a transfer RNA, 84 nucleotides long. It matches the Rfam family "tRNA". From Rfam's summary of the family: Transfer RNA (tRNA) molecules are approximately 80 nucleotides in length. Their secondary structure includes four short double-helical elements and three loops (D, anti-codon, and T loops). Further hydrogen bonds mediate the characteristic L-shaped molecular structure. tRNAs have two regions of fundamental functional importance: the anti-codon, which is responsible for specific mRNA codon recognition, and the 3' end, to which the tRNAs corresponding amino acid is attached (by aminoacyl-tRNA synthetases). tRNAs cope with the degeneracy of the genetic code in two manners: having more than one tRNA (with a specific anti-codon) for a particular amino acid; and 'wobble' base-pairing, i.e. permitting non-standard base-pairing at the 3rd anti-codon position. The record is from Rfam.